This 468-nucleotide ribosomal RNA is filed under the name uncultured bacterium. Its description in RNAcentral is "partial 16S ribosomal RNA". It matches the Rfam family "Bacterial small subunit ribosomal RNA", at positions 28 to 507 of the family's 1533-position model. The record is from RNAcentral.
GACGAACGCUGGCGGCGUGCUUAACACAUGCAAGUCGAACGGAAAGGCCCUGCUUUUGUGGGGUGCUCGAGUGGCGAACGGGUGAGUAACACGUGAGUAACCUGCCCUUGACUUUGGGAUAACUUCAGGAAACUGGGGCUAAUACCGGAUAGGAGCUCCUGCUGCAUGGUGGGGGUUGGAAAGUUUCGGCGGUUGGGGAUGGACUCGCGGCUUAUCAGCUUGUUGGUGGGGUAGUGGCUUACCAAGGCUUUGACGGGUAGCCGGCCUGGGAGGGUGACCGGCCACAUUGGGACUGAGAUACGGCCCAGACUGCUACGGGAGGCAGCAGUGGGGAGUAUUGCACAAUGGGCGGAAGCCUGAUGCAGCAACGCCGCGUGCGGGAUGACGGCCUUCGGGUUGUAAACCGCUUUCGCCUGUGACGAAGCGUGAGUGACGGUAAUGGGUAAAGAAGCACCGGCUAACUACGUG